RNAcentral lists this unclassified non-coding RNA (165 nucleotides) under uncultured fungus. Its description in RNAcentral is "sequence contains ITS1, 5.8S rRNA gene". The record is from RNAcentral. Lineage: Eukaryota; Fungi. RNAcentral also lists the same sequence under 1 other name.
UAGAGUUUUCAAAACUCCCAAACCCAUGUGAACUUACCUAUGUUGCCUCGGUGGGAGCCUACCCUGUACCUACCCUGUAACGGGUUACCCGGGAGCGGCCCCACCGGUGGACUUUUUAACUCUUGUUAUUUUAUGUAAUCUGAGAGUCUUAUUUUAAAUAAGUCA